RNAcentral lists this ribosomal RNA (1113 nucleotides) under Triticum aestivum (bread wheat). RNAcentral describes it as "partial small subunit ribosomal RNA". Lineage: Eukaryota; Viridiplantae; Streptophyta; Magnoliopsida; Poales; Poaceae. The record is from RNAcentral.
AUGGCGACCCCGUGCCCCCUCCCCGCCCUCCUCCUCCUCACCCUCGCCGCGCUGUCCCUGUCCCUGUCCCCCACCCCGGCCGCGGCGGCGCGGUUCGCGUGCAACGCCACGGCGCCGCGGGCAUCCACCUGCCAGGCCCUGGUCUCCUACUCCCCGCCCAACGCCACCACCCUGGCGGCCGUCCGCGCGCUCUUCCAGCUCCGCUCGCACCGGGCGCUGCUCGCCUCCAACAACCUCCCGCCCUCCACGCCCACCACCGCCCCGGCCCCGUCCCCGGUCCGCGUCCGCCUGCCCUGCCUCUGCUCCGGCGGGGCCGGCGCCACCUUCCAGCGGCCCACGUACAAGGUCCGCGCGGGCGACACGCUCGACGCCGUGGCCCGCGGCGCCUUCGCGGGGCUCGUCACCUACCGCGACAUCGCCGCCGCCAACAACGUGUCCGACCCCAACCGGGUCGCCGUGGGGCAGGAGCUCUGGGUGCCCCUGCCCUGCAGCUGCGACCCCGUCGGGGGGGAGCCCGUCGUGCACCUCACGUACGUCGCGCCUGCCGGGAGCUCCGUCGCCGGGAUAGCGGAGGAGUACGGGACCACGGAGGAGACGAUACUGGCGCUCAACCGCAUGCCCGACGCCAAGAGCCUCCUCGCCGGCCAGGUCCUCGACGUGCCGCUCCGAGCUUGCUCUUCUGCCAUUAGCAGCUCGGCCAUCGACCGCAACCUCCGCGUCCCGAACGCGAGCUACAUCCUCACGGCCAACAACUGCAUCAUGUGCGGCUGCAGCUCCACCACUUGGCAGCUGGACUGCCAGCCGACGCAAGGGUUGACACCCUCCUGCCCGGCGGCGAAAUGCGGAGACCUGUUCCUGGGGAACACGUCGACGUCCGCGACCUCGACCUGCGAGAGCACGACGUGCUCCUACGCCGGCUACACGAACAGCUCCUCGUUCACCAUCCUCGCCAACCUCACCACCAGCUCCGUGUGCAACGCUGCUGGGAUAUCGCCGGCCGCGCAGCCGUCCCACUCCUUGGCGUCCAGAUUGGGGUCGCCGGCGCGGUGGUCGGAGCUGAUCGUCGGGCUCCAUGUCGCUCUACUGUGCCUCGGGUUUCUGCGCCGUGAUUGA